GUUAGCUGCAGACUCUCAGGGCCAGUUCAGACCACCUUUGCAGCGAUCCUCAGAGCAAGGGUUCCCCCAAGCUCCUUAGGUCACUGGGCCAACAUCUUUCAGAUGACAAUUAAGUCUCCUCCCCUUUAGGGGGUCAGUGGGCAACAGGUACGAGUGACAAUUGCAGCUUCGUGUCUCCCUUGUGGAGCAGGCACCAGCCAAGGGAGAACCCUGGGUCACCGUCUCCAUCAGCACUGAGCACUGUCAGAUACCGUCAGGGCAGAGAAAAGCCUCAGAGUACUGUCUAGGAAAGGCAAAGGCCAGUGGGGGAGUGUGGUCUACAAGAGAAAACGCUGAUGACAAUUUUUUUUUUUCAAUUUUUCUCUCACUUUAGACACCAGUGAAGCAGUGGUUGAAAGAUGGUAGUUCACAGCCCAAACAUGGACGCCACGUCUUCACAAGGGGCCUUCUUGAAGGAGAAUGCAUGUCCUCAAACUUCAUUGUUUUUACUGUUCCGUGGAAUCCAGUGACUGACCUUGGGGACCUUGACUCCUAGGCCUGAGACCCGAGUGCAGCAGCACCCAGUGGCUUCUCCCAGCUCUGCUCACCCAGGAAACCUCAGGAGGCCAGGCUCCCUCCAGGAGGCAUCAGGAGUCAGGCCCCGACUCCAGGAACUCACUCCUGGUGGGAGAGUCUCCUGGUACCGAGCAGAUGUGGACCAGCCUUGAGACCUUCUGCUGCUUCCAAGCGAUACUGCCGUCCUCCUGGGAACCCAGGCUCGUGCUGCUUCUUGGCUCUUGUUGCAGGAGAAGAUUUCAGGCAAGAAACAAAACAGAGUAAAAGUACAACAAAGUAUGUUGGGAAAGGGAGGGAGGGUCGGUUGUCUCUAAGAGGGGAGUGCAAUGGCAUGCCCCUUUCUCCUGGUUUUAUUGUGGGUCUUAGGGAAGUUUCCCACCUCUGCGUUGGCUCGACAGUAGGAUUGCAAUCGACUUGUAAGUCCCACUACACAUGCUCUUAUCUGCAGGUACCCAGGUGAAACCCAUGGAGCAAGGAUAGGAUCAAAAUGAUAUGCUAAGAUCUAAAGGCGACUCCCAGUCACCUUGAUCCACACGGACCAAUGUGUGUAUGGCACUAACUGGCACUUGUUGUUUACAGAUUAUAUGACCAGUGGAGUUUGCCUCUAAUUGUCCUGUCUUCCUGGGUCCUUGGAACCUUUGGUCUGUGUGAAGGUCACAAGGGUCCAGGUAAUUUCAGAAAGGAGUCUUAGGUAAAUUGCUUUAGGGUAAAUUUCUUUCUAGGAGAAAACAGGUGAAAGCCCAGCACAUAGGCUCCAUUCAUAUAUCAUCCCCCAACAGCAUGUGCCUAGGACUUCUGUCCAUCUCCCACCUAUCACAAGAACUUGGUGUAGAAGAUGGCCAAAGAGUAGUUUCUGGAAAGCCCUUUUGAGGUAUGUUGACCAAUAAGGAGACUCAGACAUGCAAUUUGAAUGAGAGAAGUUUCUAGGCAGAAAGAAGUGAGUCGAGGUCUGCCACGGGAAGCCACAUGGCCUGUGCAGAAGAGCUGACUGUUUAAAGGAGGAGUGAGAGGACAGAAGAGGCCUGAGAGAAGGGGCAGAGGAGCCAUGGCCAGCCACAGCAUCGGACAUACAGUGUAUAUAAAGUAAUCUAAUCAGACAUGUAGUGUCUAUAAGACAUAUAAAGUGAUGUAAUCAGAAAUAUGAUAAAAAAUAGGAAGCUGUCCUGAUGUCACAGUUGCAGGCACACUGGAGCAGCAUAGAGACCCUGUGCUUGGCCAGGUGUCUGCACGUGACAAGCAAGGAUUGGGAGGACUCAAGACGACGGUGACACCAGCCUUCAAAACCAGAUCUGGCCCUCGCUCGCCCAGUGUUGAAGAUAAACACCAGAGAAAUGUAGAGGUAAAAAAACAAGUUUUAUUUAAGGGAUAGAACAGAGAAAGAAAAAGAGAGAGAGAGAGAGACUCCCUUGGAGGGGAGGGGUCCAGAGCUGGUGCCCAUGGAGACGGCUUGUCGAUUUUAGGUGUCCUUUCCUCUCAUGCCUACCUGACCAAAAGUGAGCAAAAGGCCAGAAGGGGGCCGUCCAGGGCGUGGGUGCUUGUGUUGUAAAGUGUGAUCGUCCAAUCCCCCGAGGCUCUUAGCAGCCUCUUAGCAACUGGGGAAAGGGAAGUACUAAUUACCCAUUUCCUUUUCUUUGAUAAUUAGCCACCUGUCCAUUGUGGCAGUCUCAAUGGCUCUGCCGUGAAUGGGGGAGAAAGAAGGAAAGUGGGAUUGAAGAGGGGGGGUCAGGUCCUCCUUCCAUGGAUGAGGUUCAAGUGCUGGUGUGAUCCUGGGGGACGUGAUCACUAGGCCAGGUAAGUGUGUAAGUGUGCGCCUGGAGUGAGAAGGACAGGGACCAGAAAUCAGCUCUGAAGACAGGCCCAACAGUGAGAGCCAAGGGCACUGGAUGAAAUGGGCCCAGUGGUGGGGCCUGAAGAGCUCAGCCAGGCUAGCGGAAGAAAUCCAGGCCUGGAAAAGGUGAGUCAAGGCGAGUUCAGGGCAGGGAGACGUAGGGUGAGACCAGUGAGUCCGCAAGGGGGUGUUGCCUUCUCCAAGGUCACGGGAAGACUGAGCCCCGGGAGAGCUGAGAGGAGGCCCAAGGUGGCCAGAACCACACUCAGAGACAGUCUUGAAACUGCUGAGGCUUCUCUAAAGGCCAUAGUCAAAGCAAAUAUAUGACAACAAUAAAGAAAUGUAAAUACUUAAACCAUUGGUCAACCUCUGCUAGCCUGCCCAGCUAGGACCUUUAUGGAGCCAAGGGUCUGGUUAACGGAAAAGGACAGGCGUCGACACCUGCCAGUGUCCCUUCAGGGGGGAGUUUGCCAGAGCCUCACAGAGGCGACGGGGUGCAGAGAAGGCUUUCUAAAUCACCCCUCGACAAACUCGUCGACCCUCUUCCUACGCUGCUAAUACUGUAUCUUGUUCGUCUAACCCCAAGGUGUGGUCAUCCAGCACAAGAGAAAAGGAGCCGAACCCAUUCUGACUUCACUCUCUUCACUUAAGAGCUGACCCAGAGAGGAUGAGACCAACAGGGAAGUGUUUUGUCAAAAUGACUGUUUGCAUCCAGUCUCCUGUUCCUCAUUCUCCUCGUUGCCACCGUCACAUAUUAGGCACUGACUUUUUAAAAAACUCUCCUGUGUGAUGAGUUUAGAGACAACCCACUAGUAUUUCCAAACUCCGGUUUUUUUUGUUUUUUUUAUAACUUCCUAGGGAUUGAACCCAGGGCCUUAAGGUGCUAGGUAGGCACUAUACCACUGAAGGACAUCUCCAGCUCCUUUUAACUUUUAUUCUUGAGACAAUCUCAUUAAAUUGCCCAGGCUGGCCUCAAACUGGGGAUCUUCCUGCCUAAGCUUUCUGAGUUCCUGCCAUUAGCCACAUGUCUGACUUCUAUCUUUUUAAAAAUAAAGAUACAAACAUAAGCACCUUAAAUACUGAAGAUUCAAUUUUAAGGGAGAAAAAAAUGUCCAUAUGACCCUUCCCCAGUCUCUAGUCAAUGCUUCUCAAACUAGAAGCACUGCCAGGUAAGAUACUUUCCCUUGUUUCCACAAUCCUGUCCUGUUUAUCCUCUGCUCCCUCCAGGAGCCACUCCCAGAGGCCCGAAUACCUGCUGUGUGCUGCAGGACUGCAUUCCCCUCCUUCUCUCCAGGCUCAGACCUUGCCCAGCACCUGCGCACUGCCCUCCGCAACUGCAGGGCCCUGACAAGUCACCACUGAGUCCUGAGAGCCUCCCAGGCCUGAAACCUCUGUAGCUAGUGUUGGGAACGUGGAGACGGCUCCUGCCGAGCUCUCUGUUGGAUGGUGCCUGAAGUCCCUAACUCGCUAUUCUCCUGUCCUCGGUGUACGGGCAUCACUGGACAGGCACAUGGUUUGGCUGUAAGUAGCCAAACAGUAUUCUCCCACAAUAAGUGACUCUGCUUCAAUCCAAUCUCAAUUUCAGAAUUUGAUAUAGAGCAAAGUUAAGUGGAGAUUAUUUUAAAAGACCUUUUUCUAACUGAAAAAAUGAGUGUUUUCAUAGUGGAAAAUUUGGAAGAUCCAGCAAAAUACAAGGACUACAUUUUAUUUUAUUUAUUUACACAACAUCUUUAUUUUAUUUUUAUGUGGUGCUGAGGAUCGAACCUAGCGCCCCGCGCAUGCUAGGCGAGCGCUUUACCGCUUGAGUCAUAUCCCCAGCCCCAGGACUAAUUUUAAAUCGCAUUUAUUUCCACAACCAAAGACAACCAUGCUAACAUUCUGUUUAGUCUCCUAAUGCUUACAUUAGGUACAUAUAUGCAUAGUUAAGUAUGUGCCACAUGCCCAUGUGCACACCUUUGUCUAAACUAGAACCAGUGGUACUCGCCCAGCAGUGCCCUUUACCCAUUUACUGUGAGCAUCUCUCCGUCAGCGCUGCUCGGCAUCAGUUCCUGUCUGGUCACAUCAGUGCUAUCUCUAUCCCAAGGCCACCCUGUCUAUAACCCAGUACAACAGCAGCAAUGAUCACGCAGAAGUGAGGAAGGCAUGGAGGUGGGGGUCAGCACCGGUGUCACAGGUCACAGGCACCAACUCAUUCAAAGCUCAAAGCAACCAUGAAGUUGCAGGUGGGAAACCGAGGCACAGCGUGGCUACCUGCCCAAGUUACACCGACGACGUGUGUGAGGUUGUGUCCAAUUUUUUACUAAAACAGAAUGAUGAACAUCUUUAUGUUCAAAAAUACAGAAUGCUUAUUCAAAUGUGUGUUCAUGUUGGUAGUUAUUUCUCCAGGGUGACAUUCCGUACCCACAAUUGCAGAGCCUGAGAAUCUGUUUAAAGACUGCUGACGUGCACUUUUCAAAUUGUGCUCCAUCCUGUUUUUGAUUUUGUGGACUGGUGGGGUUGGGGUGAAUACUGUUGUUUUGCUUGUACAAAUCCUGCCAUUCACCAGGGUAAACUCAGGCGGCUCAUUCAGAGUGGAUGUCCACCUGACUCCAGCACAGGUGCUCCGUGCAGGCCCGUGUCCUGUGAAGCAGGGGAAUUGCAGCCCCUGAAACCCAAGAUGGACCUUCUGCAGCCCUGUGUACCAAGCAUGUGGAAACUAGCUCCACAGGCAUGUUCAGAAGACAUCACCUGCAGUCAUGGGUGCCCACAGCUGAAGAGCGCUCCCUGCCCAGCGCAGCCACAGAGGGAGGAGAUGAAUGGGGAUCCAUCAGUGAACAGAAUUUGUCUGUUUUCAUUCACGCUCCAACGAGAGGCACCUUUUCAGUUUCUAUCCUGUUCAUCACUGCUUUCUCUCUGUUCUCAUUCUCUAGAAGCUUCUGAGCACCACGUGCUCUGUGCUGAAUUUAAUCAGCCUCCAUGGUAACGUGCUCUCAAAAGCUGCAGCCCGCACUCGGGCGACCUUGCCCCAGGCUGGGAGCCAGGCACCUUCACCACCGCCUGGCCUUUGCUUCACCAGGAUGCUCUCCCCGUCUGCCAGCAGCGGCCAGGCCAAUUAACCUUUAGGGGAAAGUGGGGCUCCCUGCCACUCAGCUUCCUUCUCGCUCAUUGUGCUCAUCCUGAAAAGCCUCGAGGAGCUGUAAUAAAUACAU
This 5571-nucleotide long non-coding RNA is filed under the name Marmota monax (woodchuck). The record is from RNAcentral. Lineage: Eukaryota; Metazoa; Chordata; Mammalia; Rodentia; Sciuridae.